Molecule: long non-coding RNA, 3029 nt
Filed under: Mytilus galloprovincialis (Mediterranean mussel)
Lineage: Eukaryota; Metazoa; Mollusca; Bivalvia; Mytilida; Mytilidae
Source: RNAcentral
CGAUAAAUGCAACAGGAUUUAAAAAGAAAUAGCACUUACCUCAAAAACUUCAUUUUAACUAGAUAUAAACUGAAUUUGAAGUGUACAAGUAACGAAAUAAUCUUCCCUUUGAAAGUUUUCUAUCGUAUGACAUUGUGUUUUGCCUAAAUUGCCAUGACGUAAAUUCACCAAAUCAUUCAUGAAAUUUCCCGGAAUUGUGUAUGAAUCUUAAUUUUAUACAGUUAUACAUUUUUAAAUAAAAUUGAGAAUGGAAAUGGGAUAUGUGUCAAAGAGACCACAACAAGUAAAAACAACAGCAGAAGGUCACCAACAGGUCUUCAAUGUAGCGAGAAAUUCCCGCACCCGGAGGCGUCGUUCAGAGUGCCCCUAAACAAAUAUAUACUAGUGCAGUGAUAAUGAACGCCAUACUAAUUUCCAAAUUGUACACAAGAAACUAAAAUUAAAAUAAUACAAGACUAACAAAGGCCAGAGGCUCCUGACUUGGGACAGGCGCAAAAAUGCAGGCGUUUUUGCGCCUGUCCCAAGUCAGGAGCCUCUGGCUUUUGUUAGUCUUGUAUUAUUUUAAUUUUCUCAACCCACCCCCUAUACCUCUAGCCAAUAUAGAAAAGUAAACGCAUAACAAUACACACAUUAAAAUUCAGUUCAAGAGAAGUCUGAGUCUGAUGUCAGAAGAAAAACCAAAGAAAAUUAAAACAAUUGAAAGUCUUUCCACAACAAAGAAAUUUUGAUAAGAAGAUAGUUUCUUCAUACUGAUGCAAUUAAUAAUGGUUUAAUUAUAUUUUUGAGAGAUAUAAGGGAGAUAAUAUGCUACUUCCGGUGAAAUGAAUGUCACUUCCGGUCUCAUAUGAGAGCUUUUUUCACACUGAUUCCAAAAAUAUAUAGUUUCUAUAUACUAUUGUAUGUAGAAUGGGAGAUAAUUAGCCACUUCCGGUUUGUUGGAAGUCAUUUUUAGUCGUCAGUAAUCAGUUUAUGUAUCUAUAUGACGAAAUAUAUGGAUUCUGAGUACUUUUAUAUGUAAAAAUUGCAAAAAAAGCUACUUCCGGUUUUCCCAAGGUCACUUCCGGUAGUCAUUUUUCAAGGUCAUUUGUCAUUUAACCUUUUGUACAAGGUCAAAUGCCUUUAUAAUGAACUUAGUUGAAGUUAUAAUGAAAUAACGUCAUAUCAAGACAUUUCACCAACAUUGCACCAACUCCUAUAAGAUGCCAUUCAAUUGUAUAAGUCUAAAUGUAGCAUAUCUUCAUUACAAUAAAGCAGACAUUUUGCACUUGUUCUUUUAUAUGUAUCUUUCAAAGUGACAGAGAAAAUGCAAAAACAAGCAAAAGUCACAAAUGAGAACUUGACCUUGACCUUUGACCUUGACCUCAAUUUCUAAGUUAGUACCUAGGGGACUCAUAUAUAUAAAAACAUUCCGUACGGUUAAUGGUUUAUAAGUUAAAAAUACAUUCCGACAAAUUUAUUUUGUAAAGGUAGAUAACUCCUAUAAAAUUUCAUCAAAUUGCUUUGAUCCAAAUUAGCCAAAUAUUCCUAAGGAUGUAACGAACAAUUAAGAAAAAGAAUUUUGUAGAUAUCUUUUUUUGUUACGAAGGAGAUGCACACAAAUGAUAAACAGUGAAUAGGGAGAUAACUCUUACAAAGAAAAUUGUUCGUCUUAGCAGGGUGAGAUUUAAAGCCGUAUAAACUAUACGAUACAAUAUACAAAAUAUCUAAGCGACAUAUUGUGAAACAAAAAUUUUAGAAUGUGGCGGAAAAAAAAAAAAAUAAUAAUAAUCAGAACAAAUACAAUUAAAAACCAAUUGUUCAGAGAACAAUUGAAAGUCUUUCCACACCAAAGAAAUUUUGAUAAGAAGAUAGUUUCUUCAUACUGAUGAGAUAAAUAAUGGUUUAAUUAUGUUUUUGAGUGAUAAAAGGGAGAUAAUAUGCUACUUCCGGUGAAAUAAAUGUCACUUCCGGUCUCAUAUGAUAGCUUAUUUCACACUGAUUCCAAAAAUAUAUAGUUUCUAUAUACUAUUGUAUGUAGAAGGGGAAAUAAUUGGCCACUUCCGGUUUGUUGGAAGUCAUGUUUAGUCUCCAGUAAUCAGUUUAUGUAUCUAUAUGACAAAAUAUAUUGAUUCUGGGUACUUUGAGAUGAAAAAAUUGCAAAAAAGGCUACUUCCGGUUUUCUCAAGGUCACUUCCGGUAGUCAUUUUUCAAGGUCAUUUGUCACCUAAUCUUUUGUACAAGGUCAAAUGCCUUUAUAAUGAACUUAGUUGAAGUCAUAAUCAAAUAACCUCAUAUCAAGACAUUUGAGGGGCAACAACUCCUAUAAGAUGCCAUUAAAUUGUAUAAGACUAAAUGUAGCAUAUCUUCAUUACAAUAAAGCUUACAUUUUGCACUUGUUCUUUAGUAUGUAUCUUUCAAAGUGUCGGAGAAAAUGCAAAAAAGUAUGUAUCUUUCAAAGUGUCGGAGAAAAUGCAAAAACAAGCAAAAGUCACAAUUGAGAACUUGACCUUGACCUUUGACCUUGACCUCAUUUUCUAAGUUAGGACCUAGGGGACUCAAAUAAAAACAUUCCAGGGUUAUACGGUUAACUGUUUAUGAGUUAAAUGAACAUACCGACAAAUUUAUUUUGUUAAGGGAGAUAACUCCAUAAAAAUUUCAUCGAAUCGCUUCGAUCCAAAUAAGCCAAAAAUUACUGAGGAUGUAACGAACUAUUUGUAAAAAGAAUUUUGUCGAUAUCUUUUUUUGUUACGAAGGAGAUGCACACAGAUGAAAAACAGUGAAUAGGGAGAUAACUUUUACAAAGAAAAUGGUUCGGCUUAGCAGGGUGACAGUGUUCUCCCCAGGCCGUUUUAGCGUCGCGGUACCACGACGCUAUAUUUUUUCACCGUGAUGCUAUAAUAAUGCGGGCAACCGGUCGGGCGGGCGGCCGGGCAGCAACUAAAUAUUGUCCGUGCAUUUACUCAUGAACCGUUCAACCAAAGCUUUUCAAAUUUUAAUAUGUUGUUACAGACAACAAAAUGAAGGUCAAGUCCAAUAAUGAUGAUUUUGAC